GAGUUUGAUCGUGGCUCAGGAUGAACGCUGGCGGCGUGCCUAACACAUGCAAGUCGAACGAAGCAAUCGGGAUGAAGUUUUCGGAUGGAUUCCUGGUUGACUGAGUGGCGGACGGGUGAGUAACGCGUGGAUAACCUGCCUCACACUGGGGGAUAACAGUUAGAAAUGGCUGCUAAUACCGCAUAAGCGCACAGUACCGCAUGGUACGGUGUGAAAAACCCAGGUGGUGUGAGAUGGAUCCGCGUCUGAUUAGCCAGUUGGCGGGGUAACGGCCCACCAAAGCGACGAUCAGUAGCCGACCUGAGAGGGUGACCGGCCACAUUGGGACUGAGACACGGCCCAAACUCCUACGGGAGGCAGCAGUGGGGAAUAUUGCACAAUGGGCGAAAGCCUGAUGCAGCGACGCCGCGUGAGUGAAGAAGUAUCUCGGUAUGUAAAGCUCUAUCAGCAGGGAGGAAAAUGACGGUACCUGACUAAGAA
RNAcentral lists this ribosomal RNA (480 nucleotides) under uncultured microorganism. RNAcentral's name for it is "bacterial SSU rRNA". It matches the Rfam family "Bacterial small subunit ribosomal RNA", at positions 9 to 489 of the family's 1533-position model. The record is from RNAcentral.